This is a long non-coding RNA of Cryptomeria japonica (Japanese cedar), 1132 nucleotides long. RefSeq lists it as uncharacterized. Lineage: Eukaryota; Viridiplantae; Streptophyta; Pinopsida; Cupressales; Cupressaceae. The record is from RefSeq and is a predicted model, not a curated record. The transcript is spliced from 2 exons.
GGAUGGAACCAAGAAUAAACGGCCCAGCAAGGAAAAUCAAUGGGGCCACCAAGGAAUAGGUCACAAAAACCAUUUUGAAGACGUCGCUACGGUGGGUGCGGUAAUGCGCUCAGGUCGCGACAAAAUAAUUGUCCAGCUCUAUGGAGUACACUCUGAUCCCUACAACGAAAUGUUGCGAGAAUAUCUAAAAGAGAAAAAUAACAUUCAAAUCGAACGUCUUGUAGGAGAGAAAGCAGCGUUCAAUGCUUUACAAGUAGGGGACCUUCCUUCCUUAUAAUAUUAAAAAUAUCGGUUUUUUAUUUCACAAGUGCUGAAGCGGGUUAUGAUGUUUGUAAUUUGUACUUGGAAAAGCUACAGUGCUCCGGGAUGGAGACGACUGGCUAUUGGGUAACGAUAUUAAUUGUAUAUAUCUUUAAGCAUUAUAUGGGUAGUCUAUAUACUUUUCUUCAAUAUCGCACAUUUAUUUUAUAUAGACCGACCUGAUUCCGUUAGAUCAAGCUUGUCCUCUUCAGCGCGGCAUAUUUUAUUCGGGUCAAGGGAUAUCAUAAUGCACUGUGAAAAGAAAUAUGAAAAGUCAACGACAAAAGAUAUUGUGAACUCUUUUGAAAAACUGAAUUCAUUAUUUUGUCAGUAUGUCGUCGCCGAUUGUUGUGAAGUGCCUACGGCAAUGGAAAAUAUUGAGACGCAGUUGGUAACAGAGUUAGAUAAGUAUAUAAAGAAAAUGCGGUCCUUGAAAGGGAAGCCUCCCAGCCUUGUUGAGCUAAUCCGUCGUUCAAUUCUUAAAUUUAUAGAUGACGUUUAUACCAAAACUGAAGGCCCUCUGUUUGUUAAAGCGGGAGAGCUUAGAACUGUAGGGCUGACUGCCUGAGCCUUCAGUAUUAACAAAUCCUCUAUUUGUGUGUUUUGCAGACUUUAAAAAUAAUGGCAAUCCAAGAUUUCCAUCUUGUAGAACAGUGAAAAAACAAUUCCUCUUUUUAAAGAGGUUGGGUUGUCACUUUUCUAGGAACUUUUUCUAGGAACUUUUUUUUAUUAUCUUACGAGAUCCUUAGUCCCGUUGUAAUUUGGAUUAAGGAUGAGACUUAGAACUCGUAAAAUGUUAUGGUGUGUUGUGAUUAUAAACUUAUUAUUAUUA